This 253-nucleotide ribosomal RNA is filed under the name uncultured bacterium. Its description in RNAcentral is "partial 16S ribosomal RNA". It matches the Rfam family "Bacterial small subunit ribosomal RNA", at positions 524 to 776 of the family's 1533-position model. The record is from RNAcentral.
UACGUAGGGACCGAGCGUUGUCCGGAUUCAUUGGGCGUAAAGAGCUCGUAGGCGGCCACUCAAGUCGAAUGUGAAACCUCGAGGCUUAACCUCGAGCCUGCAUUCGAUACUGGGCGGCUAGAGUCUGGUAGGGGGAUCUGGAAUUCCUGGUGUAGCGGUGGAAUGCGCAGAUAUCAGGAGGAACACCGGUGGCGAAGGCGGGAUCCUGGGCCAGUACUGACGCUGAGGAGCGAAAGCUAGGGGAGCGAACAGG